GACGAACGCUGGCGGCGUGCCUAACACAUGCAAGUCGAACGAGGUCCAUCCUUCGGGAGAAGACCUAGUGGCGAACGGGUGAGUAACACGUGAAGAACCUGCCCCCGAAGACCGGGAUAACCCUCCGAAAGGAGAGCUAAUACCGGAUACCCCCACCGAACCGCAUGGUUUGGUGAGGAAAUGGAUUCCGCUUCGGGAGGGCUUCGCGGCCUAUCAGCUAGUUGGUGGGGUAACGGCCCACCAAGGCAUCGACGGGUAGCUGGUCUGAGAGGACGAUCAGCCACACUGGGACUGAGACACGGCCCAGACUCCUACGGGAGGCAGCAGUGGGGAAUCUUGCGCAAUGGGCGAAAGCCUGACGCAGCAACGCCGCGUGGGGGAUGAAGGCUCUCGGGUUGUAAACCCCUUUCAGCAGGGACGAAUCGGUGGUCCCUAAUACGGGCUACGUAAUGACGGUACCUGAAGAGAAGCACCGGCUAACUACGUGCCAGCAGCCGCGGUAAU
This 504-nucleotide ribosomal RNA is filed under the name uncultured bacterium. Its description in RNAcentral is "bacterial SSU rRNA". It matches the Rfam family "Bacterial small subunit ribosomal RNA", at positions 28 to 524 of the family's 1533-position model. The record is from RNAcentral.